GAUGCGAUCAUACCAGCACUAAAGCACCGGAUCCCAUCAGAACUCCGAAGUUAAGCGUGCUUGGGCGAGAGUAGUACUAGGAUGGGUGACCUCCUGGGAAGUCCUCGUGUUGCAUCCCUC
RNAcentral lists this ribosomal RNA (120 nucleotides) under Oryza sativa Indica Group (long-grained rice). Lineage: Eukaryota; Viridiplantae; Streptophyta; Magnoliopsida; Poales; Poaceae. The record is from RNAcentral.